RNAcentral lists this ribosomal RNA (460 nucleotides) under uncultured bacterium. RNAcentral's name for it is "partial 16S ribosomal RNA". It matches the Rfam family "Bacterial small subunit ribosomal RNA", at positions 338 to 795 of the family's 1533-position model. The record is from RNAcentral.
CCUACGGGUGGCAGCAGUGAGGAAUAUUGGUCAAUGGACGAGAGUCUGAACCAGCCAAGUAGCGUGAAGGAUGACUGCCCUACGGGUUGUAAACUUCUUUUAUAUGGGAAUAAAAUGUUCCACGUGUGGGAUUUUGUAUGUACCAUAUGAAUAAGGAUCGGCUAACUCCGUGCCAGCAGCCGCGGUAAUACGGAGGAUCCGAGCGUUAUCCGGAUUUAUUGGGUUUAAAGGGAGCGUAGGUGGUAUGUUAAGUCAGUUGUGAAAGUUUGCGGCUCAACCGUAAAAUUGCAGUUGAAACUGGCAGUCUUGAGUACAGUAGAGGUGGGCGGAAUUCGUGGUGUAGCGGUGAAAUGCUUAGAUAGCACGAAGAACUCCGAUUGCGAAGGCAGUUCACUGGACUGCAACUGACACUGAGGCUCGAAAGUGUGGGUAUCAAACAGGAUUAGAUACCCCUGUAGUC